Molecule: ribosomal RNA, 478 nt
Filed under: uncultured bacterium
Lineage: Bacteria
Description: partial 16S ribosomal RNA
Rfam family: Bacterial small subunit ribosomal RNA
Source: RNAcentral
GACGAACGCUGGCGGCGUGCUUAACACAUGCAAGUCGAACGGUAAGGCCCUUCGGGGUACACGAGUGGCGAACGGGCGAGUAACACGUGGGUGAUCUGCCCUGCACUUCGGGAUAAGCCUGGGAAACUGGGUCUAAUACCGGAUAGGACCACUGACUGCAGGGGUGGUGGUGGAAAGCUGUUGCGGUGUGGGAUGGGCCUGUGGCCUAUCAGCUUGUUGGUGGGGUGAUGGCCUACCAAGGCGACGACGGGUAGCCGGCCUGGGAGUGGGAACGGCCAAACUGGGACUGAGAUACGGCCCAGACUCCUACGGGAGGCAGCAGUGGGGAAUAUUGCACAAUGGGCGCAAGCCUGAUGCAGCGACGCCGCGUGAGGGAUGACGGCCUUCGGGUUGUAAACCUCUUUCAGCACCGACGAAGCGCAAGUGACGGUAGGUGCAGAAGAAGGACCGGCCAACUACGUGCCAGCCGCCGCCGUAA